AUGAUGCUCCGGCUCGUCCGUGAAGCUAGGAGGGCGGUGGCUUCCUCGGAGUUGCUUGGCAGGGCAGGCGGCAGGCGGUGGCUAUGCACGGCGAUGAAGGGAAGGCUGGAGGGAAAGAUUGCGCUGAUAACCGGAGGAGCAAGUGGGCUGGGUAAGGCCACAGCCCACGAGUUCAUCCAAGAGGGCGCCUCUGUAGUUCUCGCCGACAUCAAUUCCCAGAUGGGCCUCCAAACAGCCGAGGAACUCGGCCCGCAGGCCCACUUCAUCCACUGCGACGUCAUCCUCGAAGACAGCGUGGCCGGGGCAGUGGACGCCGCCAUCGCGAGGCACAGCCGGCUCGACGUCAUGUUCAACAGCGCCGGCGUCGUGGGAUCCCUCUCCGGCACGUCGGAGAUGGCAACCCUGGACCUGGACAAGUUCGACGACAUCAUGCGCGUGAACCUGCGCGGCACGUUGGCAGGGAUCAAGCACGCCACGCGCGUCAUGGCGCCGGCGGGCUCCGGCUCCAUCCUCUGCAUGGGCAGCAUCAGUGGUAUCAUGGGGUGCCUCGGCUCGUACCCCUACUCGCUUUCCAAGCUCGCCAUUGCCGGCAUCGCGAGGACAGCAGCCGUGGAGCUCGCCCGUCACGGCGUCCGCGUCAACUGCAUUUCGCCACACGCCAUCGCCACACCUAUGGUGGUGCAGCAGUUCUCGCAGAUGCUCCAGGGCGCCGACGAGGCCACGGUGACGGCAAUCAUCCGGAGCCUCGGCGAGCUCAAGGGCGCUGCGUGCGAGGCCGUGGACGUGGCCAGGGCUGCCGUCUACCUCGCCUCCGACGACGGCAAGUACGUGUCCGGACACAACCUGGUGGUGGACGGUGGGUUCACCACCUACAAGUAUAUGAACGUGCCGUUCCCCAAGCCGCAGGACAGCGAGUAA
This 918-nucleotide ribosomal RNA is filed under the name Triticum aestivum (bread wheat). RNAcentral's name for it is "partial small subunit ribosomal RNA". Lineage: Eukaryota; Viridiplantae; Streptophyta; Magnoliopsida; Poales; Poaceae. The record is from RNAcentral.